GUGAAGAACGUAGCGAAAUGCGAUAAGUAAUGUGAAUUGCAGAAUUCAGUGAAUCAUCGAAUCUUUGAACGCACAUUGCGCCCCCUGGUAUUCCGGGGGGCAUGCCUGUCCGAGCGUCAUUGCUGCCCUCAAGCACGGCUUGUGUGUUGGGCCCCGUCCUCCGAUCCCGGGGGACGGGCCCGAAAGGCAGCGGCGGCACCGCGUCCGGUCCUCGAGCGUAUGGGGCUUUGUCACCCGCUCUGUAGGCCCGGCCGGCGCUUGCCGAUCAACCCAAAUUUUUAUCCAGGUUGACCUCGGAUCAGGUAGGGAUACCCGCUGAACUUAAGCAUAUCAAUAAGCGGAGGA
Molecule: unclassified non-coding RNA, 345 nt
Filed under: soil metagenome
Description: partial contains 5.8S ribosomal RNA, internal transcribed spacer 2, and large subunit ribosomal RNA
Rfam family: 5.8S ribosomal RNA (bases 2-119)
Source: RNAcentral